RNAcentral lists this ribosomal RNA (2831 nucleotides) under Escherichia coli. RNAcentral describes it as "bacterial LSU rRNA". It matches the Rfam family "Bacterial large subunit ribosomal RNA". The record is from RNAcentral. Lineage: Bacteria; Pseudomonadati; Pseudomonadota; Gammaproteobacteria; Enterobacterales; Enterobacteriaceae.
UUAAGCGACUAAGCGUACACGGUGGAUGCCCUGGCAGUCAGAGGCGAUGAAGGACGUGCUAAUCUGCGAUAAGCGUCGGUGAGGUGAUAUGAACCGUUAUAACCGGCGAUUUCCGAAUGGGGAAACCCAGUGUGUUUCGACACACUAUCAUUAACUGAAUCCAUAGGUUAAUGAGGCGAACCGGGGGAACUGAAACAUCUAAGUACCCCGAGGAAAAGAAAUCAACCGAGAUUCCCCCAGUAGCGGCGAGCGAACGGGGAGGAGCCCAGAGCCUGAAUCAGUGUGUGUGUUAGUGGAAGCGUCUGGAAAGGCGUGCGAUACAGGGUGACAGCCCCGUACACAAAAAUGCACAUAUUGUGAGCUCGAUGAGUAGGGCGGGACACGUGGUAUCCUGUCUGAAUAUGGGGGGACCAUCCUCCAAGGCUAAAUACUCCUGACUGACCGAUAGUGAACCAGUACCGUGAGGGAAAGGCGAAAAGAACCCCGGCGAGGGGAGUGAAAAAGAACCUGAAACCGUGUACGUACAAGCAGUGGGAGCCUCUUAAUGGGGUGACUGCGUACCUUUUGUAUAAUGGGUCAGCGACUUAUAUUCUGUAGCAAGGUUAACCGAAUAGGGGAGCCGAAGGGAAACCGAGUCUUAACUGGGCGUUAAGUUGCAGGGUAUAGACCCGAAACCCGGUGAUCUAGCCAUGGGCAGGUUGAAGGUUGGGUAACACUAACUGGAGGACCGAACCGACUAAUGUUGAAAAAUUAGCGGAUGACUUGUGGCUGGGGGUGAAAGGCCAAUCAAACCGGGAGAUAGCUGGUUCUCCCCGAAAGCUAUUUAGGUAGCGCCUCGUGAAUUCAUCUCCGGGGGUAGAGCACUGUUUCGGCAAGGGGGUCAUCCCGACUUACCAACCCGAUGCAAACUGCGAAUACCGGAGAAUGUUAUCACGGGAGACACACGGCGGGUGCUAACGUCCGUCGUGAAGAGGGAAACAACCCAGACCGCCAGCUAAGGUCCCAAAGUCAUGGUUAAGUGGGAAACGAUGUGGGAAGGCCCAGACAGCCAGGAUGUUGGCUUAGAAGCAGCCAUCAUUUAAAGAAAGCGUAAUAGCUCACUGGUCGAGUCGGCCUGCGCGGAAGAUGUAACGGGGCUAAACCAUGCACCGAAGCUGCGGCAGCGACACUAUGUGUUGUUGGGUAGGGGAGCGUUCUGUAAGCCUGUGAAGGUGGCCUGUGAGGGUUGCUGGAGGUAUCAGAAGUGCGAAUGCUGACAUAAGUAACGAUAAAGCGGGUGAAAAGCCCGCUCGCCGGAAGACCAAGGGUUCCUGUCCAACGUUAAUCGGGGCAGGGUGAGUCGACCCCUAAGGCGAGGCCGAAAGGCGUAGUCGAUGGGAAACAGGUUAAUAUUCCUGUACUUGGUGUUACUGCGAAGGGGGGACGGAGAAGGCUAUGUUGGCCGGGCGACGGUUGUCCCGGUUUAAGCGUGUAGGCUGGUUUUCCAGGCAAAUCCGGAAAACCAAGGCUGAGGCGUGAUGACGAGGCACUACGGUGCUGAAGUGACAAAUGCCCUGCUUCCAGGAAAAGCCUCUAAGCAUCAGGUAACAUCAAAUCGUACCCCAAACCGACACAGGUGGUCAGGUAGAGAAUACCAAGGCGCUUGAGAGAACUCGGGUGAAGGAACUAGGCAAAAUGGUGCCGUAACUUCGGGAGAAGGCACGCUGAUAUGUAGGUGAAGCGACUUGCUCGUGGAGCUGAAAUCAGUCGAAGAUACCAGCUGGCUGCAACUGUUUAUUAAAAACACAGCACUGUGCAAACACGAAAGUGGACGUAUACGGUGUGACGCCUGCCCGGUGCCGGAAGGUUAAUUGAUGGGGUUAGCGGUAACGCGAAGCUCUUGAUCGAAGCCCCGGUAAACGGCGGCCGUAACUAUAACGGUCCUAAGGUAGCGAAAUUCCUUGUCGGGUAAGUUCCGACCUGCACGAAUGGCGUAAUGAUGGCCAGGCUGUCUCCACCCGAGACUCAGUGAAAUUGAACUCGCUGUGAAGAUGCAGUGUACCCGCGGCAAGACGGAAAGACCCCGUGAACCUUUACUAUAGCUUGACACUGAACAUUGAGCCUUGAUGUGUAGGAUAGGUGGGAGGCUUUGAAGUGUGGACGCCAGUCUGCAUGGAGCCGACCUUGAAAUACCACCCUUUAAUGUUUGAUGUUCUAACGUUGGCCCGUAAUCCGGGUUGCGGACAGUGUCUGGUGGGUAGUUUGACUGGGGCGGUCUCCUCCUAAAGAGUAACGGAGGAGCACGAAGGUUGGCUAAUCCUGGUCGGACAUCAGGAGGUUAGUGCAAUGGCAUAAGCCAGCUUGACUGCGAGCGUGACGGCGCGAGCAGGUGCGAAAGCAGGUCAUAGUGAUCCGGUGGUUCUGAAUGGAAGGGCCAUCGCUCAACGGAUAAAAGGUACUCCGGGGAUAACAGGCUGAUACCGCCCAAGAGUUCAUAUCGACGGCGGUGUUUGGCACCUCGAUGUCGGCUCAUCACAUCCUGGGGCUGAAGUAGGUCCCAAGGGUAUGGCUGUUCGCCAUUUAAAGUGGUACGCGAGCUGGGUUUAGAACGUCGUGAGACAGUUCGGUCCCUAUCUGCCGUGGGCGCUGGAGAACUGAGGGGGGCUGCUCCUAGUACGAGAGGACCGGAGUGGACGCAUCACUGGUGUUCGGGUUGUCAUGCCAAUGGCACUGCCCGGUAGCUAAAUGCGGAAGAGAUAAGUGCUGAAAGCAUCUAAGCACGAAACUUGCCCCGAGAUGAGUUCUCCCUGACUCCUUGAGAGUCCUGAAGGAACGUUGAAGACGACGACGUU